GAUGAACGCUGGCGGCGUGCUUAACACAUGCAAGUCGAGCGAGAAGUUUUGAAAAGAUUCUUCGGAUGAAAUUUAAAAUGGAAAGCGGCGGACGGGUGAGUAACGCGUAGGCAACCUGCCCCAUACAAAGGGAUAGCAUUUGGAAACGAAUAUUAAUACCUUAUGAAACUUACCUAGUGCAUGCUAGGUAGGUCAAAGAUUUAUCGGUAUGGGAUGGGCCUGCGUCUGAUUAGCUAGUUGGUGAGGUAACGGCUCACCAAGGCGACGAUCAGUAGCCGACCUGAGAGGGUGAACGGCCACAUUGGAACUGAGGCACGGUCCAAACUCCUACGGGAGGCAGCAGUGGGGAAUAUUGCACAAUGGGGGAAACCCUGAUGCAGCAACGCCGCGUGAACGAUGAAGGCCUUUGGGUCGUAAAGUUCUGUUCUAGGUGAUGAAAACUGACAGUAACCUAGGAGAAAGCCCCGGCUAACUCCGUG
Molecule: ribosomal RNA, 479 nt
Filed under: uncultured bacterium
Lineage: Bacteria
Description: partial 16S ribosomal RNA
Rfam family: Bacterial small subunit ribosomal RNA
Source: RNAcentral